GAGAGAGACAUGCGCGCAUAUCAAUAAGCGGAGGAAAAGAAACUAACAAGGAUUCCCUUAGUAACGGCGAGUGAAGCGGGAAGAGCUCAAAUUUGAAAUCUUCAAGGUUUUACCUUGACGAAUUGUAGUUUAAAGAAGUGUUUUCUGCUGAAGUUUUGGUAAAAGUUCUUUGGAAUAGGACAUCAUAGAGGGUGAGAAUCCCGUAUUUGACCAUUAUUUUCAGCUUUGUGAUACACUUUCAAAGAGUCGGAUUGUUUGGGAAUGCAGUCCAAAAUGGGUGGUAAAUUUCAUCUAAAGCUAAAUAUUGGCGAGAGACCGAUAGCGAACAAGUACCGUGAGGGAAAGAUGAAAAGAACUUUGAAAAGAGAGUUAAACAGUACGUGAAAUUGUCAAAAGGGAAGCGUUUGACACCAGUGUUGUUUUCUCGAAAAUCAAUUAAAAAUGGCUCGAUUUUGUAUUGCUUGAGACCUUAAAAGCUCACUGUACAUUUUUCGUGUCUUUUUUAAUGCACUUUUCGUUUAACAAGUCAACAUCAGUUUCUUUUGUUGUAAAAGGGUCAUUGGAAGGUGGCUUUCUUUUCGGAGAAAGUGUUUAUAGCCUUUGGCCUCUGCAAUCGAAGAGACUGAGGUCUGCAGCGUAGACUCUUCGGGGUUAGAUACAUUUGUGCUAAGUUAUAGCUUUUUAUAGACAACUUGUUGACUAUAAUUAGUCUUGUAGCUUACUCGCUUAUGCUAUUUUACCUACGCUUAGGAUGUUGAAGAUGUAGCACAUCAU
RNAcentral lists this ribosomal RNA (774 nucleotides) under uncultured Neocallimastigales. RNAcentral's name for it is "partial large subunit ribosomal RNA". It matches the Rfam family "Eukaryotic large subunit ribosomal RNA", at positions 23 to 620 of the family's 3401-position model. Lineage: Eukaryota; Fungi; Neocallimastigomycota; Neocallimastigomycetes; Neocallimastigales. The record is from RNAcentral.